This 97-nucleotide transfer RNA is filed under the name Phycisphaerae bacterium. Its description in RNAcentral is "tRNA-Sec". It matches the Rfam family "Selenocysteine transfer RNA". The record is from RNAcentral. Lineage: Bacteria; Pseudomonadati; Planctomycetota; Phycisphaerae. RNAcentral also lists the same sequence under 1 other name.
GGGAGUGUCUGCACGCCUGGUGGCGGCCGCGGGCUUCAAACCCGUUGGAGGGUCUGGAACACAGGUUCUCGGUGGGUUCGAUUCCCAUCCACUCCCG